Molecule: ribosomal RNA, 506 nt
Filed under: uncultured bacterium
Lineage: Bacteria
Description: partial 16S ribosomal RNA
Rfam family: Bacterial small subunit ribosomal RNA
Source: RNAcentral
GACGAACGCUGGCGGCGCGCCUAACACAUGCAAGUCGAACGAGCGAGAGGAGGUUUACUUUCUCAAGCGAGUGGCGAACGGGUGAGUAACGCGUGAGGAACCUGCCUCAAAGAGGGGGACAACAGUUGGAAACGACUGCUAAUACCGCAUAAGCCCACGACCCGGCAUCGGGUAGAGGGAAAAGGAGCAAUCCGCUUUGAGAUGGCCUCGCGUCCGAUUAGCUAGUUGGGGAGGUAAUGGCCCACCAAGGCGACGAUCGGUAGCCGGACUGAGGUGACGCACAGCGAAAGGGGGGCUGACCACAGGACAAGAGGACGAGGGGAGGCAGCGGGGGAGAAAACGGCACCAGGGGACACACGGGGAGGGGGCGGGGGCGCGUGGAGAAAGAUGGGCUGCGGUGUGAAAACUCUGGUGGUGGAGAAAGAUAAUGUCGUUACUAAAAAAGGAUGGGAUGGAGAAAUACGUGCAAGCCGCCGCAGAAAAAGAAGACCACACCACGCUUGCAC